CUUACCAUUGCAAGUCGAGCGGGGUGAUGGUGCUUGCACUAUCACCUAGCGGCGGACGGGUGAGUAAUGCUUAGGAAUCUGCCUAUUAGUGGGGGACAACAUUUCGAAAGGAAUGCUAAUACCGCAUACGUCCUACGGGAGAAAGCAGGGGAUCUUCGGACCUUGCGCUAAUAGAUGAGCCUAAGUCGGAUUAGCUAGUUGGUGGGGUAAAGGCCUACCAAGGCGACGAUCUGUAGCGGGUCUGAGAGGAUGAUCCGCCACACUGGGACUGAGACACGGCCCAGACUCCUACGGGAGGCAGCAGUGGGGAAUAUUGGACAAUGGGCGCAAGCCUGAUCCAGCCAUGCCGCGUGUGUGAAGAAGGCCUUAUGGUUGUAAAGCACUUUAAGCGAGGAGGAGGCUACUUUAGAUAAUACCUAGAGAUAGUGGACGUUACUCGCAGAAUAAGCACCGGCUAACUCUGUGCCAGCAGCCGCGGUAAUACAGAGGGUGCAAGCGUUAAUCGGAUUUACUGGGCGUAAAGCGCGCGUAGGCGGCUAAUUAAGUCAAAUGUGAAAUCCCCGAGCUUAACUUGGGAAUUGCAUUCGAUACUGGUUAGCUAGAGUGUGGGAGAGGAUGGUAGAAUUCCAGGUGUAGCGGUGAAAAUGCGUAGAGAUCUGGAGGAAUACCGAUGGCGAAGGCAGCCAUCUGGCCUAACACUGACGCUGAGGUGCGAAAGCAUGGGGAGCAAACAGGAUUAGAUACCCUGGUAGUCCAUGCCGUAAACGAUGUCUACUAGCCGUUGGGGCCUUUGAGGCUUUAUUGGCGCAGCUAACGCGAUAAGUAGACCGCCUGGGGAGUACGGUCGCAAGACUAAAACUUCAAUGAAAUUGACGGGGGCCCGCACAAGCCGUGGAGCA
RNAcentral lists this ribosomal RNA (899 nucleotides) under Acinetobacter lactucae. RNAcentral's name for it is "bacterial SSU rRNA". It matches the Rfam family "Bacterial small subunit ribosomal RNA", at positions 47 to 939 of the family's 1533-position model. The record is from RNAcentral. Lineage: Bacteria; Pseudomonadati; Pseudomonadota; Gammaproteobacteria; Moraxellales; Moraxellaceae.